UACGUAGGGGGCAAGCGUUGUCCGGAAUCAUUGGGCGUAAAGCGCGUGUAGGCAGCUAGGUAAGUCUGCUCUGAAAGCCCGGGGCUCAACCCCGGGAGGCGGGUGGAUACUGUCUAGCUCGAGUCCGGAAGAGGAGUGUGGAAUUCCUGGUGUAGCGGUGAAAUGCGCAGAUAUCAGGAGGAACACCAAUGGCGAAGGCAGCACUCUGGGACGUGACUGACGCUGAGACGCGAAAGCGUGGGGAGCAAACAGG
RNAcentral lists this ribosomal RNA (253 nucleotides) under uncultured bacterium. RNAcentral describes it as "partial 16S ribosomal RNA". It matches the Rfam family "Bacterial small subunit ribosomal RNA", at positions 524 to 776 of the family's 1533-position model. The record is from RNAcentral.